CAAAAACAUCGCCUCUUGAUCCACCCCUAAGAGGUCCAGCCUGCCCAGUGACAUUGUUCAACGGCCGCGGUAUCCUAACCGUGCGAAGGUAGCGUAAUCACUUGUCCUUUAAAUGAGGACUGGUAUGAAUGGCCACACGAAAGCUAUACUGUCUCCUUUUUCUAAUCAGUUAAACUAAUCUUCCCGUGAAGAAGCGGGAAUAUACCUAUAAGACGAGAAGACCCUAUGGAGCUUCAAACGACCGAGACACCUGAUUUAACCUUUUUAUACACUUAAUUAUUCUUCCCUGUCUCUAGUUUUAGGUUGGGGUGACCACGGAGCAAAACCUAACCUCCAUGACGAAUGUAUCUUUCUAUUCUUAGCUAAAAGCCACACCUUUAUGCACCAAUAAACUGUCUCUUAUUGACCCAAUAAUUUGAUCAACGAACCAAGUUACCCUAGGGAUUACAGCGCAAUCCACUUCAAGAGCUCUUAUCGACAAGUGGGCUUACGACCUCGAUGUUGGAUCAGGGUAUCCCAGUGGUGCAGCCGCUACUAACGGUUCG
RNAcentral lists this ribosomal RNA (545 nucleotides) under Dryadobates olfersioides group sp. ABGD cluster 42. RNAcentral describes it as "Allobates olfersioides group sp. ABGD cluster 42 partial large subunit ribosomal RNA". It matches the Rfam family "Bacterial large subunit ribosomal RNA", at positions 1808 to 2575 of the family's 2925-position model. The record is from RNAcentral. Lineage: Eukaryota; Metazoa; Chordata; Amphibia; Anura; Aromobatidae.